This 377-nucleotide RNase P RNA is filed under the name Muribaculaceae bacterium. RNAcentral's name for it is "RNase P RNA component class A". It matches the Rfam family "Bacterial RNase P class A". From Rfam's summary of the family: Ribonuclease P (RNase P) is a ubiquitous endoribonuclease, found in archaea, bacteria and eukarya as well as chloroplasts and mitochondria. Its best characterised activity is the generation of mature 5'-ends of tRNAs by cleaving the 5'-leader elements of precursor-tRNAs. The record is from RNAcentral. Lineage: Bacteria; Pseudomonadati; Bacteroidota; Bacteroidia; Bacteroidales; Muribaculaceae.
AUGGCCGGAGGGUCCGUCGCUCGUCAUAUCCAUAAGUGGCGAGAGGAAAGUCCGGGCAACACAGAGCACCAUACUUGCUAACGGCAAGCUAUCGGCAACGGUAGAUAAGUGUGACAGAAAACGACCGCCUCCGGCCCCCGGAGGCAAGGGUGAAAAGGCGAGGUAAGAGCUCACCGGGCGCCACGGCGACAUGGCGCGCCGCACACAUUAUGGGUUGCAAGGUCAAGUAUACCGGCAUUCAAGGGCUGCUCGUCCAUUGCCGGGGGGUAGACUGCUUACGGCAGCGAUGCCAGAUAAAUGACGGACGGAGUGCCGUGGCUUCCUCUCGGGGAAAAGUGCGCGCUCCACAUAACCCGGCUUAUACUCCGACCAUGCUU